UAUCACGGGAGACACACGGCGGGUGCUAACGUCCGUCGUGAAGAGGGAAACAACCCAGACCGCCAGCUAAGGUCCCAAAGUCAUGGUUAAGUGGGAAACGAUGUGGGAAGGCCCAGACAGCCAGGAUGUUGGCUUAGAAGCAGCCAUCAUUUAAAGAAAGCGUAAUAGCUCACUGGUCGAGUCGGCCUGCGCGGAAGAUGUAACGGGGCUAAACCAUGCACCGAAGCUGCGGCAGCGAACGUAUCACUUAAAGCGAUUCAGCGGGUUACGAUUGACGGAGCGAAGCGACGUCAAAGCGUAUACAAAGUCGAGUCGGUUUAAGGAUACGUUCGUUGGGUAGGGGAGCGUUCUGUAAGCCUGUGAAGGUGGCCUGUGAGGGUUGCUGGAGGUAUCAGAAGUGCGAAUGCUGACAUAAGUAACGAUAAAGCGGGUGAAAAGCCCGCUCGCCGGAAGACCAAGGGUUCCUGUCCAACGUUAAUCGGGGCAGGGUGAGUCGACCCCUAAGGCGAGGCCGAAAGGCGUAGUCGAUGGGAAACGGGUUAAUAUUCCCGUACUUGGUGUUACUGCGAAGGGGGGACGGAGAAGGCUAUGUUGGCCGGGCGACGGUUGUGU
Molecule: ribosomal RNA, 612 nt
Filed under: Salmonella enterica
Lineage: Bacteria; Pseudomonadati; Pseudomonadota; Gammaproteobacteria; Enterobacterales; Enterobacteriaceae
Description: partial 23S ribosomal RNA
Rfam family: Bacterial large subunit ribosomal RNA
Source: RNAcentral